Molecule: ribosomal RNA, 440 nt
Filed under: uncultured bacterium
Lineage: Bacteria
Description: partial 16S ribosomal RNA
Rfam family: Bacterial small subunit ribosomal RNA
Source: RNAcentral
CCUACGGGAGACUGCAGUGGGGAAUAUUGCACAAUGGGGGGAACCCUGAUGCAGCGACGCCGCGUGAGUGAAGAAGUAUUUCGGUAUGUAAAGCUCUAUCAGCAGGGAAGAAGAUGACGGUACCUGACUAAGAAGCCCCGGCUAACUACGUGCCAGCAGCCGCGGUAAUACGUAGGGGGCACGCGUUAUCCGGAUUUACUGGGUGUAAAGGGAGCGUAGACGGCAGGGCAAGUCUGGAGUGAAAGCCGGGGGCCCAACCCCGGGACUGCUUUGGAAACUGCCAUGCUAGAGUGCUGGAGAGGUAAGCGGAAUGCCUAGUGUAGCGGUGAAAUGCGUAGAUAUUAGGAGGAACCCCAGUGGCGAAGGCAGCUUACUGGACAGUAACUGACGUUGAGGCACGAAAGCGUGGGGAGCGAACAGGAUUAGAUACCCCUGUAGUC